CGCCAACCACGACGAACGUGUCAAACUAAACCAGAGUAUUUUAGUGGGUAUGGUCGACCGGUGGUUGGGUCAACGCCAUUUUCCACACGCACAUCCACAGCUCACAUGACAGCGAUGUAUACCAAAUGCCGGCACGUGCAGUGGACGCGUGAGGAAGAUAAGGUGCGGGAAACAGGACCACCAAUAAUUGAGGUUAAAUUAAAGGAGGGGCGGGUGUUCCGAGUCCUCACUCAAGAUCCUUCUUGCGUGGAUGUCACGCAAAGGGAGCGGCGGUCGCCAUCGCGGGAUGGACGGUCGAUGCCCCCAACCCGUUCGUCAUAAUGUCUGGUUUGUCUGUGUGCAGACUAAACCGUGGUAACGUGGUUGCCCGCACGCUUCAACAGAAUCGUGCGACGCAUGACGACGGAGACCGCCAGAAUACGGCAAGCUGGUUUGAAAAUUAUAUUAUCUCAAAAACCAUUAAUGGUGUACGUAUAUUUAAUUGCAUUAGCAAUUCAAACAAGCCAUCUCGACUUGGUCUGACCUGAGCUCGACCCAAAUGCGAAGGGAUGGAACAAGCCAUCUCAACUUGGUCUGACCAGAGCUCGACCCAAAUGCGAAGGGACGGACUUUGGCGGUCCCGCCAAAUCGACACGACAGGAGUCGCGACUGUCCGCGGGCACUCGAGGGGAGAAGAAAUGGCCGCCUCCGCCAAAACCCUAGCGGAGCUCCUCCACCCCGCCAAGCGCCUCCGUCCCCUCUCCCCCUCGACCAAAAUCCAGAUCUCCAAGUCCUCCUCUGCCCGGACUCCCGAGCAGAAGAAGACGACCGAGACCAACAAAGCCCUGGCGCGAUCGAAGCGGGACCUCCGGAUCUGCACCGACAUAAUCGAGAAAUCGAGAGAUUCAGCCGAAGGGAUGGAGCAUGCGAAGCUGGAGGAGCUUUUGGUGGAGGAGACGUGGUUGGAGGCUCUCGAGGGGGAGCUCCAGAAACCGUACGCGAAGAACCUGUGCAGGUUCGUGGAGAGGGAGAUGCGUGGGAGCGUCCCGAUCUACCCUCCGCCGCACCUUAUAUUCGAUGCUCUCCACCGGACGCCUUUCCAUCAAGUGAAGGCAGUGAUCAUCGGGCAGGAUCCUUAUCAUGGACCUGGUCAAGCCAUGGGUCUUGCUUUCUCGGUGCCGGAGGGUAUCAAGGUUCCUUCCAGUUUAGUCAACAUAUUUAAGGAACUCAGGGAGGAUGUUGGGUGUUCUUUGCCAUCGCAUGGAAAUUUAGAGAGAUGGGCUGUGCAGGGGGUUCUUCUGCUGAAUGCUGUCCUCACCGUUAGGAAACAUCAGGCUAAUUCACAUGCUAAAAAAGGAUGGGAGCCGUUUACUGAUGCUAUUAUUCAAACAAUUUCACAGAAGAAAACAGGAGUUGUUUUCCUCCUCUGGGGGAAUUCUGCCCAAGCAAAAUCAAGAUUGAUCGACGAGUCAAAGCAUCAUAUCCUAAGAGCAGCUCAUCCAUCUGGUCUUUCAGCCAACAGAGGGUUCUUCGGAUGCAGGCAUUUCUCUCAGACGAACCAGAUACUGGAGAAACUUAACCUUUCUCCCAUAGAUUGGCAACUCUGAGCUCAGAGAAAUGCCGUAUUCUCGGGUGCAACCUCGCUACCAUCACCUGAUAUGGACUCUCUAAUCCGUGGACGGACCAUCAGGCCUGACCAAAUUUUGGUAAACAAUGGGGCAAAUGAGGAAGAACAAUUAAGCAGUGUUCAUGGAUGUAAUGCCUUCUUGCCUCUCCGCUGGAUCUCUUCCUCCUCUCAGAAAUCCCCCCCAUGAAGUUUCCAUCAUCUGGACCGGAAUCCUCAGGGAAUGAACUCCUAUGCGGCUAGUUGCCAUCAGAAAAACACAUGUUGUGAACUCUGUGAUGCAAAAGAACAAAAAAGAAACAAUUGGGUGUAGUGUUGGAGGUUUUCCACAAGUGUUUCAAAAGAGGGAUGUUCUUUAGAAGAACAGAAUUUGUCUUACCUUUUUCUUCUUCUUCUUCCCCA
RNA transcript from Musa acuminata AAA Group (dessert banana), 2005 nucleotides. It is a transcript of the gene named uracil-DNA glycosylase, mitochondrial-like, with no coding region annotated. Lineage: Eukaryota; Viridiplantae; Streptophyta; Magnoliopsida; Zingiberales; Musaceae. The transcript has 8 exons. The record is from RefSeq and is a predicted model, not a curated record.